Molecule: small RNA, 753 nt
Filed under: Pan troglodytes (chimpanzee)
Lineage: Eukaryota; Metazoa; Chordata; Mammalia; Primates; Hominidae
Description: processed transcript
Source: RNAcentral
CAUGGACAGCCUGGAUCUGCUGGGUGAAGGGAGAAGUUAUGUCCAGGGUGGGACAGAGAGGAUGGCGAGAGAUUUCCUCACUACUCAGAACAGCGGGAAAUUCAAAACUUAGGGAUUAUUUCUGAAAUUUUCCAUUUAAAAUUGACCAAGUGUAACUGAAACCAGAGAAAGCAAGACUGACGAUAAGGGAGGGGCCUCCUGUACUCCAAGAGCACUGAAUCUGGAAAAACUCAACACAUCGAUGGAGUCAUAUAUUUAAUUUUUUCUUAAAAGCCACCUGUGGGGUAUUGUAGAAACGCUGCGCUGCCUAUCACAGCUUGUGAUGUGACACGUUCAUUCUGCAAGUUUAAACUUCGCCUAGAUCGGUUCUUGGGGAAAAGCUGUGCUUCAGAGACAAGGUUGAAGAACUUCGCCUGCAUAUGAUGGAAGAUGACAAUGGGAACCACAGGUGUCAUUGGUGGCUUUGUUUUACAAAGUCUUCACCUUUCUGCCGAGUCACGGGACUAAGUUCAACUCAAUUUCUACUUUCCGCCUUCCUUUGGAAUAAUAGUUUUGGAAGCCAAGUAUUAGUAUAUGAUAUCAGCCUGGAGUCGGGGACUCUGAAACCUAAUCUGAAGUGUGUUUAACGAGGGUUCUGAACGCUGGGACUUAUUGCUGAGGGGAACAAGGAGACAGUGUGUCCUCAGGGGCAGCGUGGCCGCCCCUAGAGCCACAGCAAGCAGGAAGAAUCGCAGCAUUUGUGGGCAGAACCGA